RNAcentral lists this ribosomal RNA (495 nucleotides) under uncultured bacterium. Its description in RNAcentral is "partial 16S ribosomal RNA". It matches the Rfam family "Bacterial small subunit ribosomal RNA", at positions 29 to 501 of the family's 1533-position model. The record is from RNAcentral.
AACUAACGCUGGCGGCGUGCCUAAUACAUGCAAGUCGAACGCGAAAGUCCUUCGGGAUGAGUAGAGUGGCGCACGGGUGAGAAACACGUGGGUAAUCUGCCCAGAAGUGGGGAAUAACUCCUCGAAAGAGGAGCUAAUACCGCAUAAGACCACGACAACUAAGGUUGUUGGGGUUAAAGGUGACCUCUGUUUACAAGUUAUCGUUUCUGGAUGAGCCUGCGCAACAUUAGCUAGUUGGUGGGGUAAUGGCCUACCAAGGCUACGAUGUUUAGCUGGGCUGAGAGGAUGAUCAGCCACACUGGAACUGAGACACGGUCCAGACUCCUACGGGAGGCAGCAGUAGGGAAUAUUGCUCAAUGGGGGAAACCCUGAAGCAGCAACGCCGCGUGAGUGAUGAAGGCCUUCGGGUCGUAAAGCUCUGUUGUACGGGGAGAACGUGGGUAUGGCUAACAUCCAUAUCCAGUGACGGUACCGUAUAAGAAAGGGACGGCUAAC